CUUCUAUGACACUGUGUAACUUAAAAGUCAUCCCUAUUUAUAUACAGCGUGUUCUGCUACUGUUUCUAUAUAAUUUAAGGAGUGAUUCUUGACGUCGAAAUGAGACGAAAAUCAAGAAUAAAAGAAUUGCGUUUUUGGUUUUAUUUCUUAGUUAUUGACAAUAAAAAGUCGGCCAGAAUAUCCCUGCACGCGAGCAAACUUCCUUACACGAACGAAAGGAGGUCAGCCUAAGCAGCGGAGCACACAGAGAUCCUCAAUUCGAUCGACAUAUGAGCUGCAGCUCAUCUCGUAUGAGUCGUAGAGAAGAAAACUAUGGUAUUCGGAGACGUAAACAACCCCGCGCGACCCUUCGCAAAAGAAAUGGUAGUUUAAACAUUCAACCUGCUUAUUCGUGGAAAUCCAUAAGAAUAUAUCGAAAACCUCACUAUGAAAUUUCCGAAUGGAGAGUAUUAAUGUUUCCUCUAAUCCUUUACUUCCGCGAGUGUCCACAGCAAAAUCACACACGCACCGCGAUUGCCCCAGCCGCGAGUGUCCACAAAAAAUACAACAAAUUACAAUAGAUCUUCGUUAUGUCCUCUGUUUUCUUGUAAACAGAUGCUGACUCUUCUCUUAAAAUUUUACUGUAUUGUGUUUUCAUGUGCCCCAGUAAAAAUCAAGAGGAUUUAAAUCUGGUGACGGAGCAGACCAAAACACAGGUCUUCUUCGAACGAUCUACCAUCCUGUUUCCAAAACAACUGGUCAACUGCUUUUGCAGUACACGCACUGUGCGCACUUCAUGUACAAUACACUCAAGUAAGACUCUAACUUAAUAUUUUCAGUUCUCUAAAAGUUCCCCUUCGAAUGUCGGAAUGAUUUUGUUCUUCAAAAACUGUUCUAGUUUCUUGCUUCAAAAUAGCUAAAACAUGGCAAUGUAGUGAUGGAGAGUUCAUUCAAAAAGAAAAAUUUACGAUACUCAUUACCAAUGCUUUCAUUUUCUUUGUAUAACUCGGAAUUAUUCAGGAACAGUUAUGAUAUUUAAGAAGUUCUUUUUGAAAGCAAGGGUACGAUAUUGAGGAAGCGAAGAGGCUGUACAUCAAAUGUGUUUAAAAAAACCUAUUUUACACAAUCUUCAAAUCUUAUAUAGCUAGAGAUUUAUUAGAUAUGCUCAUUGGAAAAGUGGACUUUCUGUUUACUAGAUGGGUUUCGGAAAUAUCUCAAUUCUUCAAGCCUUAUUGUCUUCGGUUUUUAUGACCGUAACGUGUUUUAAACGUGGAAAAAAAUUAGAAGAAUGCUCCAAGAAAGCUCUAGUAUAGAAAAGAAGCAUAACUAUCGCAUUUAUUAUUUAUUUUGAAGCAAAUAUUGUGACUAUAUUCGUGGAAUAAUAUAAAAUAUUAAUUUGAUAUUUUGUAGGAAGUGUUGAAAAACCGACUAUAAGUUUUUUGAACUUUCGCAUAUAUACUUUUGCUACGUUGCGGCGGAUGGGAAUAAUGCAAAAGUACGACGUUUAUACGCCGAAAAAUAUUCCAACAGGACUAUACUCAGCGUACAGACAUUUUGCAAUAUAGUUCAACGAUUGUGGGACACCAGCACAUUAAAACCUGUUCUAUCUGGCAUAUGAAUUCAGUACGACGACGCGGAUCUGGGAGAUAGAACACUGUACCGUAUUCAACAAAAUUCCAAUUUGAGUACGAGGAUUAUUACUGUUGAAAAAGGUGUCAGCACCGUAUGGUCAGUAUUGAAGGGGGAAAAUCUACACCCGUAUAGCAUCCAGAAAGUUCGACAGCUAAGAAAGGAUGAGUAGGAAAGUCCAAUGCGAUUUCAAUUUCCCCGCCAGAAUAUUAUUUACUGACGAGGCAACGUUUAACAAAUGUGCAAUUACAAAUAUGUGUAACGAAUAUUUCAGGUCAUAAGACAAUCGCGGUGCGUGUAUGAUUUUGCUGUGGACACUCGCAGAGGCAAAGGAUUAGAGGAAACAUUAAUCCCCUCUACUCGGAAAUUUCUAGGGUGGCUUUUAAUAUGCUCUUAUGGAUUUCCACGAGUAAGCAGGUUUAAUGUUUAAUCUACUUUCUUCUUUUUCUUUUUUUUUUUGCGAAACGUCGCGUGGUGUUGUUUACGUCUCCGGAUACCACGGUUAAUUUAUAUGAGGUAAACUGUCGUUCAUAUGUCGACUGAAUUGAGGAUCACUGUGCGCCCCGCUGCUUAGGUUGACCUCCUUUCGUUCAUGUAAGAAAGUUUGCUUGCAUGCAGGGAUAUUUUGUCCGAUUUUUGAUUGUCAAUAACUAAAAAUUAAAACCGAAAACGUAAUUUUUGUAUUCUUGCUUUUCGUCUCAUUUCGGCGUUAAGAAUCACUCCUUAAAUUAUAUAGGAAUAGUAGCCGAACACCCUGUAUAUUUAUACCUUUUAAAUUAAUAUAGAAAGGAUCUGUAACUAGAAUUCUGGUUUUAAGAAGAUAAACUUUAUACAUAUGUGUAUAUUCGAAGAAAUUAACAAAAAAAGGACAAUCUUUUUCUAAGAAAAUUCACGAUACUUGUAGCUCUAUUACCUAUUGCCUCUUGUAAUUCUAUUACCUACAUUAAUCUUCAAUAUUUUCAUUCUAAAUACUUGUAAUAGAGUUAAUAAUAUUUUUAUAGAA
This is an RNA transcript of Bombus pyrosoma, 2611 nucleotides long. RefSeq lists it as uncharacterized. NCBI's taxonomy places the organism in Eukaryota, Metazoa, Arthropoda, Insecta, Hymenoptera, Apidae. The record is from RefSeq and is a predicted model, not a curated record. The transcript has 2 exons.